Molecule: ribosomal RNA, 253 nt
Filed under: uncultured bacterium
Lineage: Bacteria
Description: partial 16S ribosomal RNA
Rfam family: Bacterial small subunit ribosomal RNA
Source: RNAcentral
UACAGAGGGUGCGAGCGUUAAUCGGAAUUACUGGGCGUAAAGCGCACGUAGUAGGCUUUGCAAGUCGGGUGUGAAAUCCCCGGGCUCAACCUGGGAACUGCAUCCGAGACUGCAUUGCUAGAGUAUGGGAGAGGGAAGCGGAAUUUCCGGUGUAGCGGUGAAAUGCGUAGAUAUCGGAAGGAACACCAGUGGCGAAAGCGGCUUCCUGGUCCAGCACCGACGUUCAGGCACGAAAGCGUGGUGAGCAAACAGG